UACAGAGGGGGCAAGCGUUGUUCGGAAUUACUGGGCGUAAAGGGCGCGUAGGCGGCCUUCUAAGUCGAACGUGAAAUCCCUCGGCUUAACCGGGGAACUGCGUCUGAUACUGGAUGGCUUGAAUCCGGGAGAGGGAUGCGGAAUUCCAGGUGUAGCGGUGAAAUGCGUAGAUAUCUGGAGGAACACCGGUGGCGAAGGCGGCAUCCUGGACCGGCAUUGACGCUGAGGAGCGAAAGCGUGGGGAGCGAACAGG
RNAcentral lists this ribosomal RNA (253 nucleotides) under uncultured bacterium. RNAcentral's name for it is "partial 16S ribosomal RNA". It matches the Rfam family "Bacterial small subunit ribosomal RNA", at positions 524 to 776 of the family's 1533-position model. The record is from RNAcentral.